UCAAUUUUAAACAUUCCGUACUUGGCCAAAUAUCUUUUGCUCUCUCUAUUGCUGCCCAUAAAAACACUUGUGUUACAGUUAAAAUGAACCAGUGUCUGAACAUAUCAUUAUCAUUUACAUCCAUUUAGAGAAGGGAAAAAGAAUUGUGAUUGCUAUUGUUUACGACUUGCCAAAACCGUACACCCACUAACAUAAUGUCAAGAGAGUAGAGGAGACGAAAUAAAAUUGG
RNAcentral lists this long non-coding RNA (229 nucleotides) under Citrus sinensis (sweet orange). RNAcentral's name for it is "long non-coding RNA (CSIN_LNC003881)". Lineage: Eukaryota; Viridiplantae; Streptophyta; Magnoliopsida; Sapindales; Rutaceae. The record is from RNAcentral.